This 497-nucleotide ribosomal RNA is filed under the name uncultured microorganism. RNAcentral describes it as "bacterial SSU rRNA". It matches the Rfam family "Bacterial small subunit ribosomal RNA", at positions 9 to 506 of the family's 1533-position model. The record is from RNAcentral.
GAGUUUGAUCCUGGCUCAGGAUGAACGCUGGCGGCGUGCUUAACACAUGCAAGUCGAACGAAGCGCCUUAUUUGAUUUUCUUCGGAACUGAGGAUUUGGUGACUGAGUGGCGGACGGGUGAGUAACGCGUGGGUAACCUGCCCUGUACAGGGGGAUAACAAUCAGAAAUGACUGCUAAUACCGCAUAAGACCACAGCACCGCAUGGUGCAGGGGUAAAAACUCCGGUGGUACAGGAUGGACCCGCGUCUGAUUAGCUGGUUGGUGAGGUAACGGCUCACCAAGGCGACGAUCAGUAGCCGGCUUGAGAGAGUGAACGGCCACAUUGGGACUGAGACACGGCCCAAACUCCUACGGGAGGCAGCAGUGGGGAAUAUUGCACAAUGGGGGAAACCCUGAUGCAGCAACGCCGCGUGAGUGAAGAAGUAUUUCGGUAUGUAAAGCUCUAUCAGCAGGGAAGAAAGUGACGGUACUGACUAAGAAGCCCGGCUAACUACGU